This is a long non-coding RNA of Herpailurus yagouaroundi (jaguarundi), 1690 nucleotides long. RefSeq lists it as uncharacterized. NCBI's taxonomy places the organism in Eukaryota, Metazoa, Chordata, Mammalia, Carnivora, Felidae. The record is from RefSeq and is a predicted model, not a curated record. The transcript has 3 exons.
UCACAGAUGUGAACAUGGAGGUGUGGCGGGGUUAAGUAAGUUGCUCAAGGGGGCACAGCUCAAGGCUGCAGACUCCAUGCUGUCCCGUGAGUCAAGACAGCAAGGAAUCUGGCUGGUCCAUGGCCAUGUCCCUCGGCAUCUAUCUUCUUACACACAGAAGAUGCCCAGUGAACUCCGCAAACUCUUGGACUCAAUGUGCCCAGCUAGGAUCCGAACUGGAGGGCUUUCGCUGCCACGAUGCCAUUAUCAACAUCCCAGUCUCCACCCAAUGCACAGACGUCAUUACACACACACAGCAAUGAAGAGGGUGCUUUACUCUCCUUUAUCAGGACUGACAAGGCUUCCAGAAGAGGAGGAGCUGCUCUAUCCCUUUCAGCUUGAAGGACACAUCCAGGCACCUCAAGGGCAAACUGGCUUAAUCAAGCCCAACCCGCCAGAUACCGCCCACUUCUCACCCACCCACACUGGCUGUGGACGUCUUCUCCAGCCCCCCCACACCCACGGAAUGCCACACACCUCGUGCCCUCUGGGGCCCUCCUGCCCACCCCACAGCUAAACGUCAAGCCUCAUCCUUCAUGGUUCGCAUCUCCACACUUUCUCUGCUGUCUCUGUUCCCAUCCUCAGCCUGCCGGCCAAGGUCUCGUGGGCAAGACCCCUUCCCUGCAAUGCCAUUCUGUACCCUCCAUCCAGCACCACCAGGAGCCCCUUCUCAAAUCUUCCCAUCGAUGAGGCUUCCAGCCCCUCCCAGUGGUGUGAACUUGCUUACACAAAAGAAGAGUCAACAAGGCAGAGUUUCGUUGUCUCUGGAGCUCUUAAAACCUGGGUUCAAGCUCAAGGCUCCCUCCACCGACUCUUUCUCUAAUGCUACCUGGGUAACCUGGGGGUUUCCAGCAUGCAGCCUGCCCCAAUGAAUGCUGCUUCCGAGCAGAUGGUGGAGGGGACUGGGAAAGACUCACUCUGACCCCUGAGUGUGUGGGUGUGUAGAGGGCAGCAGCUAAUGCUGUCCCAGCAGGGGAUAAAGCCAGAGGACACACAGACAGUGACAAUCCCACAAGGACCACCUUCUACAUUUAGAUUGCUCACGUGCACUUGGCUUUGCCUCUAGGAGACUCACACCCAGACCCAUUCUGAACAAUCAGUGAUAGAUGUGGGCUUGCUCACUUCUGUCCCCGGAAGCCAAACACCAUUGAGAAGGGCAGCAAGAGGUCCAAGGCUCCGACCCACCAGUGGGUGUGGCAUGGCCAGGAAAUGCCUCAGGAUCCAAGCUGUUGCCACUGCCUGGGUCCUGGACACAGACGUGAACAGCCGGACUCCCAGGCACUGCAUGGGAGACACACAUGCAUACCUGUGCAUGGGAGACAUGCACACCCCCGGGGAGGCCAAGGGAGGCCCGUCCUCCUCUGCCUAGCAGACCUCAUCCAAGGAGAGGUCUGACUGCUCUGCUUGCAGAAUUACAGGGCGACUCUGAGUGGAUGAAGACUCUGCUUAAUAUUUUUGGUAAUGAAAACACUUUGUAGGACAAGUGCUUUUUAAGACUCAGAGAUGGGGGAAUCUGAGUGGCAUUUUAAAUGGGCUGUUGGACAAGAUUCGCCACGGCCCUGGUAAAUGUCACACAUUUCACCAGCUGGGCGAAGAGGCAUGUUAGCUAUGUUUCUCCCAAACCUGAUUAAAAUGGAAAGUGCCUUUUGAA